RNAcentral lists this small nuclear RNA (100 nucleotides) under Penicillium vulpinum. The record is from RNAcentral. Lineage: Eukaryota; Fungi; Ascomycota; Eurotiomycetes; Eurotiales; Aspergillaceae.
UCGCCCUUCGGGGCGUAUGAAAUGAAAAUAUACAGAGAAGAUUAGCAUGGCCCCUACACUAAGGAUGACACGCUUAAUCAAAGAGAAGCAACAAUUUUUU